This 69-nucleotide transfer RNA is filed under the name Rattus norvegicus (Norway rat). It matches the Rfam family "tRNA". Rfam says of the family: Transfer RNA (tRNA) molecules are approximately 80 nucleotides in length. Their secondary structure includes four short double-helical elements and three loops (D, anti-codon, and T loops). Further hydrogen bonds mediate the characteristic L-shaped molecular structure. tRNAs have two regions of fundamental functional importance: the anti-codon, which is responsible for specific mRNA codon recognition, and the 3' end, to which the tRNAs corresponding amino acid is attached (by aminoacyl-tRNA synthetases). tRNAs cope with the degeneracy of the genetic code in two manners: having more than one tRNA (with a specific anti-codon) for a particular amino acid; and 'wobble' base-pairing, i.e. permitting non-standard base-pairing at the 3rd anti-codon position. Lineage: Eukaryota; Metazoa; Chordata; Mammalia; Rodentia; Muridae. The record is from Rfam by way of RNAcentral.
GGGGAUUUAGCUCAGUGAUAGAGCGCUUGCCUAGCAAGCGCAAGGUCCUGGGUUCGGUCCCCAGCUCCA